GUCUCUAUGGCUCAGUCGGUAGAGCGUUGGUCUCAUAUUAAACACAUAUGACUCUGGAAAACAUUCUAGGGACAUCCAAAGGUCGCAAGUUCGAGCCUUGCUAGGGACA
Molecule: transfer RNA, 109 nt
Filed under: Colletotrichum orchidophilum
Lineage: Eukaryota; Fungi; Ascomycota; Sordariomycetes; Glomerellales; Glomerellaceae
Rfam family: tRNA
About the family: Transfer RNA (tRNA) molecules are approximately 80 nucleotides in length.
Source: Rfam by way of RNAcentral